RNAcentral lists this ribosomal RNA (120 nucleotides) under Callipepla squamata (scaled quail). Lineage: Eukaryota; Metazoa; Chordata; Aves; Galliformes; Odontophoridae. The record is from RNAcentral.
GCCUGCAGCCAUUUCACUCUUGUGGCACCUGAACCGUCCAGAUCUCAGAAGCUACACAGAGUCAGACCUGGUUAGUAUUUGGAUGAGAGUUCUCCAGGAUGCACUGGGUUGAUAUUAGUC